CCCUUAGAUGUUCUGGGCCGCACGCGCGCUACACUGACGAUGGCAACGAGUUUUUCCUUCGCCGAAAGGUGUGGGUAAUCUUUUGAAACAUCGUCGUGCUGGGGAUAGAUCAUUGCAAUUUUUGAUCUUGAACGAGGAAUUCCUAGUAAGCGCGAGUCAUCAGCUCGCGUUGAUUACGUCCCUGCCCUUUGUACACACCGCCCGUCGCUACUACCGAUUGAAUGGUUUAGUGAGGACUCCUGAUUGGCGCCGCCGCCCCGACAACGGAGCAGCGGACUGCCGAAAAGUUGUUCAAACUUGAUCAUUUAGAGGAAGUAAAAGUCGUAACA
This 329-nucleotide ribosomal RNA is filed under the name uncultured eukaryote. RNAcentral describes it as "partial 18S ribosomal RNA". It matches the Rfam family "Eukaryotic small subunit ribosomal RNA", at positions 1470 to 1796 of the family's 1831-position model. The record is from RNAcentral.